This 223-nucleotide unclassified non-coding RNA is filed under the name Hevea brasiliensis (rubber tree). Lineage: Eukaryota; Viridiplantae; Streptophyta; Magnoliopsida; Malpighiales; Euphorbiaceae. The record is from RNAcentral.
UUAUGGUGAUAUUCAUUGCAUUGGUUAGAAUUGAUAUUCUAUUCUAGCAAUUUCAUCACAGUUGGUUUGUUGAAAAUUUUUAAGUUAAUUUCUGUUAUGUGCUCUGAGGAUACUUAGCAAUGCUUGCAAUAGCGUUAUUCUUGUUCUUAUUAUUUAAAAUUUCCUGCACGGCACAAACUUAGUUCAGUUUUCAUUCUUUUUGGUUUUUUGUUUAUUAUCCUAG